UUGAACGCUGGCGGCCUGCUUUACACAUGCCAGUCGCACGGUAACAGGCCGCAAGGUGCUGACGAGUGGCGAACGGGUGAGUAAUGCAUCGGAACGUGCCCAGUCGUGGGGGAUAACUACUCGAAAGAGUAGCUAAUACCGCAUACGAUCUAUGGAUGAAAGCGGGGGACCGUAAGGCCUCGCGCGAUUGGAGCGGCCGAUGUCAGAUUAGGUAGUUGGUGGGGUAAAGGCUCACCAAGCCAACGAUCUGUAGCUGGUCUGAGAGGACGACCAGCCACGCUGGGACUGAGACACGGCCCAGACUCCUACGGGAGGCAGCAGUGGGGAAUUUUGGACAAUGGGCGCAAGCCUGAUCCAGCAAUGCCGCGUGCAGGAAGAAGGCCUUCGGGUUGUAAACUGCUUUUGUACGGAACGAAACGGCUCUGGUUAAUACCCGGGGCUAAUGACGGUACCGUAAGAAUAAGCACCGGCUAACUACGUG
Molecule: ribosomal RNA, 481 nt
Filed under: uncultured bacterium
Lineage: Bacteria
Description: partial 16S ribosomal RNA
Rfam family: Bacterial small subunit ribosomal RNA
Source: RNAcentral